CGAGAAGAAUCGAGAAAGAGGGAGGAAAAAAAUGAAGAAAGAAGAGAAGAAGAAAAGGAAGAGGAAAAGAAGAAGAAGAAGAAGUGGGUUUUCAAUUCUUGGGUACUCCAUUUUUUCAGUUUCUCAUUUGAUUUUGAGAGGUAAGUGUAAGUAUAUUGAAUUAAGUUUUCUUUUAGGGUUUAUGAAAAAUUUGGUUAUAUUCAAAGUUAGCUAGAAUUAGAGGUUACUGACAUUUAUUUGAGGUAUUAAACAUGAAUAUGUUAAAGGAAUAUGUAUUGAAAGAUUGGUGUUGGAAAAAAUAAAAGAAAGAAAAGAAAAGGAGGGAAACUUUGCAAUUGGGUUUAUGAAAUAGACGCUUAUUCUUUGAUUUUCUUUGGAUUAUAUGAUGCUAAGCACUUAAAUUAUGGAAUUGUGGUUGAUUUCUCCAUUUUUAAGUAAUAAUUAUAAGCAAUUUUUGGACAAAUCCUGCACAGGUGCUGCUUUUGAAAUCCUGCCCCAGAAAAGUGCUAGUUUUGUCAAUGUUUUUGGUGACAGAUUUCAAUAUAUAGACAUUGGUGCUAGCUUUCAAUAUUCUAGAAUUAUAGUGCUAGUUUUGUCAAUCAUCUAAUUUUCUUGGAUUUCUAGUAUUGGAACCAAAUUAAAUGUUAAAUAUUUGGAGUUUUGGUGUUAAAAUAAUUUAUAUAAAGGAGUAUAUAUUGUUAGUGACCUUAAUUGAGACUACGAGGUUGAAAAUAAAAUAUAUCAUGUUCCCAUUGAUAAAUUAAUAUUUCAAAUGGUAGGAAAAUACUCAAGACAUCUUUGCAAGGGAAUAUGAUUUAUUAGAGCGAGUGCGUAAUAUCAUACUUGAUAUUUGAAGUUUAAGCAGUGACGAGAAGAUGGAAACCCUGGUCGACUAUUACUCGGUGAGUGGAUAAAACUUAAUUUGCAGAAAUAAGUAUUCAUUAAAUUUUGAAAUUAUUUAUUUUAUAAAGUUAAGUUGAUAGCAUGAUUUUCAAAAUAAAAUUGAUUUUAUAAAUAGUUCUUUUAAAUAUUUGAUUCAGUUCAGUUAAAUCAUUUCAAUAGCAUGUUCUAUUCGUACUACAUGUUUUAGUAUAGUUAAAGUUAUUUCUAAAAAUCACGAGGAGGUACCAUGUGAUUUUACCCCAGUCUAUAUUGGUGUAAAUGUGUUUCCACAGUGUAUGACUAUUUAAGGUGAUUUUACCCAGUUUGCAAAAUUGUGAAUGUGUUUCCAUAGUGUAUGACUAGUUUAUCAGAGGUCUUUGGGAUCCAUUCUCGUACACACAUAGGCUUUGAGUCGUCUACUAGGGUGAUUAGCCUUUGAGGCAGCUCUGUGUACGUAUGACCAUAUUAUCACAUUAUCAGAUAUUAUAUUUGAAUGGCUUUGCCUUGUACAUCGAGAUUUUUCUAUACAUAAGUAAGGCUAUUCAUUGGGUACCUUUUUGGUGUGAUUUUUCAGUAUUUCUACAGUUUAUCAAUUUUCAGAUUUUAGAAUUCAUUUUUCAGAAUAAAGCUUCAGCUUAGAGUAUUGAGCAGCAGAUAUUUCAUAGAUUUUCAUGGAUAUCGGAUUAUUUAUGUCAUUAUACUUUAUAGUUGCUUAUCUAGAAUUAAGAACAAAGAAUUUUAUUAUGAAAUUAUGUUUAGUUUUAAAAGUGCUACCAGAUUUCAAAAUUUCUCAAAGUUUUGAUAGAGCAAGAAUUUUUAGAAUAUAUACAUAAAAGAAAAAUAUAUUUAUUUGCAAAUUAUCCACUCACUGAGCUUUAAAAUCAUAUAUAUUUUUUCACAUUUUUCUUUAUCAAACAGAAAGCAGACGAAUUGAGUAGCUUUGGAACCUGUCGAACCAUCAAAUUGAGCCACGCGUCAUAGGUUGUAUGACAUCAUUUAUCAGGUUAUACAUUAUGUGUUCUUUUGGGAUACAUGUAGUUUAAAUCAGAAAAGUUCAUUAUGAGCUCAUUAGAUAUUUGGUAUCUUUAGUAUAUUUGAGGAUGUUGGUGGUAAAGAAAGUAAAUAUUGAUUUGCUAGUAUUUUAUUCGAAUAAUUUGCAUUUUGAAG
RNAcentral lists this long non-coding RNA (2049 nucleotides) under Olea europaea subsp. europaea. Lineage: Eukaryota; Viridiplantae; Streptophyta; Magnoliopsida; Lamiales; Oleaceae. The record is from RNAcentral.